UAGUGACCGAUAGAGAACCAGUAACGUGAGGGAAAGGUGAAAAGUACGCCGGAAGGGGAGUGAAAUAGAACUUGAAACCGUGUGCUGACAAGUAGUCAGAGCCCGUUAAUGGGUGAUGGCGUGCCUUGUGAAGAAUGAACCGGCGAGUGACGAUUUGAUGCAAGGUUAAGCAGUGAAUGUGGAGCCGUAGCGAAAGCGAGUCUGAAUAGGGCGUUGAGUAUUUGGUCGUAGACCCGAAACCAGGUGAU
This 248-nucleotide ribosomal RNA is filed under the name Staphylococcus shinii. RNAcentral describes it as "partial 23S ribosomal RNA". It matches the Rfam family "Bacterial large subunit ribosomal RNA", at positions 478 to 729 of the family's 2925-position model. The record is from RNAcentral. Lineage: Bacteria; Bacillati; Bacillota; Bacilli; Caryophanales; Staphylococcaceae.